This 76-nucleotide transfer RNA is filed under the name Acidithiobacillus ferrivorans. Its description in RNAcentral is "tRNA-Met". It matches the Rfam family "tRNA". From Rfam's summary of the family: Transfer RNA (tRNA) molecules are approximately 80 nucleotides in length. The record is from RNAcentral. Lineage: Bacteria; Pseudomonadati; Pseudomonadota; Acidithiobacillia; Acidithiobacillales; Acidithiobacillaceae.
GGACAAUUAGCUCAGUUGGCAGAGCAAUGGAAUCAUAACCCAUGGGUCGCCAGUUCGAUUCUGGCAUUGUCCACCA